GUGCCAGCCGCCGCGGUAAUACAGAGGUCCCAAGCGUUGUUCGGAUUUACUGGGCGUAAAGGGUGCGUAGGCGGCCAAAAAAGUCUGAUGUGAAAUCUUGGAGCUUAACUCCGAAACUGCAUUGGAUACUGGUUGGCUUGAGGAGUGGAGGGGAGACUGGAAUUCUCGGUGUAGCAGUGAAAUGCGUAGAUAUCGAGAGGAACACCAGUGGCGAAGGCGAGUCUCUGGACACUUCCUGACGCUGAGGCACGAAAGCCAAGGGAGCAAACGGGAUUAGAUACCCCCGUAGUCC
This 292-nucleotide ribosomal RNA is filed under the name uncultured bacterium. Its description in RNAcentral is "partial 16S ribosomal RNA". It matches the Rfam family "Bacterial small subunit ribosomal RNA", at positions 505 to 796 of the family's 1533-position model. The record is from RNAcentral.